RNAcentral lists this long non-coding RNA (1609 nucleotides) under Mus caroli (Ryukyu mouse). RNAcentral describes it as "predicted gene 29480 (MGP_CAROLIEiJ_G0002374.1)". Lineage: Eukaryota; Metazoa; Chordata; Mammalia; Rodentia; Muridae. The record is from RNAcentral.
GGGCGACACCUGCAGCUCCUACCGACCGCUGCCUCCUCCGCAAUGGGGAUGGUUCUGUACAGCUGGAGCCGAUGGGGAAAGCCACUUACUCACAUUUCUUCCUUGAAAUGGAUGGGUGCCCUCAGCCUUCCUAGUCAGUCACACUACUGGGGACACAGGAAUCUUCUGGGCAAACAGCUGCUCAGCCAAGGGGGCUUUGGAUCCAGCAGACUCCCAAAUAGAUGCUCUCUAAACUGCCUGCUCAGACCACCUCACCAGUGAAUGCCAGGUGACACCAUCCCCUAGGCUUGAGCCUGACCUGUGGAAGAGCGAAGAAAGCUAGUUGACAGCAAACAAGUCAUCACCAUAGGUGUAUCUGCCUCUCUCUGCUCUUUACUAUGGAUGUGAUGUGUCCAGAUGUCUCAAGUUCCUGCUUCUGACUUCCCUGUAACGAUGGACAUCCUGCCUGGAAAAAACAGCACCAUGGAGGACCCAGCCUCCCUGUUUCCCAGGAGCUCCUCUGAAGGCACAAUACAGAGCCCAGCAGCCAGCCCACAGUCACACAGCCAAGUGAGGGCAAAGCUCGCUCUUGAACUAGGUGGAUUAGCUAAAUCCAACAGAUCAGGCUUGGAUUCAGUGAGGAUGUUUCUCAGUGUUCACUGCUGGCUAAUGGGCACUGAGCAGGUCACUCUCCUGACAUGGUUCUCAACCAAUGGUGUGACUUUCUCCAACAGCCUAGCCCAACAUUCCUUCUGAGUCCAGUGUCACUGUGCCACUGCACACAGCACCCACAGCCCAAGAGCACCCAUCCAUAUGCCUUCUGGUCUCCACUCUGCAUGGCUCUGAUGUCACCAUACUGACUGACCCCAGACUGCCCACUCUGCCAAACAGAAGCCCUGGAAGCCUGGGAACAGAACUUGGCUGCAUCCUGACACCCAGAAUGCACUGUGUCUUCCAGGGCAGCUUGGGGAUCUCUACUCCAAGGAGGCGCUAAGGCACCCAACACUGAAUUCACAGAGCUGUCUUCUAGCCCUGCCCUACUCUGAAGACAUUUGCCACCUUUGGUGUAACUACCACCCCCGUGUUGGUUAAUAUAUUCAUUUGGCAGGGUUCAGGAUCAUCUAGAAGAUAAACUUCUGGGCAGGCCUGUGAGGAAGUUUCUAGAUUGCAUUGAAGUGGGAAGACCCAUCUGACAUGUGUAGUAGUAUCUCUUGGGGUUCAGUGGUAGAACACUUGCCUAGCAUAUACAGGCUGUGGGUUUGAUCCUGUCCUGGCUAGUAUUAUGACAACCUGACACAAGAUAAGUCAUUUGGGGAAAAGGGAACCUCAGUUGAGAAAAUGCUUCCAUAAGAAUGGCCUAUAGUGCAGUUUUAUAAUUAGUGAUUGGGGGCUGGAGAGAUGGCUCAGUGGUUAAGAGCACUGACUGCUCUUCCAGAGGUUCUGAGUUCAAUUCCCAGCAACCACAUGGUGGCUCACAACCAUCUGUAAUGGGAUCUGACGCCCUCUUCUGGUGUGUCUGAAGACAGCUAUAGUACUCAUAUACAUAAAAUAAAUAAAUCUUUGGGCUGGAGAGAUGGCUCAGAGGUUAAGACAGCUACAGUGUAUUUACAUAUCAUAAAUAAAAUAUUUU